CUGGAGGUUUCCCCCAACCCUCUUCCCAAUAUCGCUUCCCCAAACUUCAUACCCAUUGAGCGUAUCAUGCAGUUAGACCUUCCUGUCAUCGACCCAGAAGCCGAAAUCUUCAAAAGUGGUAGUAAUGAUGUUGUGGUAGCUGGGUUCGUUCUCUUCUUCCCUAACUACUCAACGUUUCUAGCGAAGCCGGGGUUGUACGUGGAGGAUCUGUUCGUGAGGGAGUGUUACAGGAGGAAAGGAAUGGGGAAGAUACUGCUGUCGGCAGUGGCUGCUCAGGCGGUGAAAAUGGGGUAUGGGAGAGUGGAGUGGGUGGUACUUGAUUGGAAUGUGAAUGCUAUUAAGUUUUAUGAGGAAAUGGGUGCUAAGAUUUUGACAGAGUGGAGGAUUUGCAGGCUGACUGGUGAAGCUCUUGAGGCUUAUCGU
RNAcentral lists this unclassified non-coding RNA (423 nucleotides) under Hevea brasiliensis (rubber tree). Lineage: Eukaryota; Viridiplantae; Streptophyta; Magnoliopsida; Malpighiales; Euphorbiaceae. The record is from RNAcentral.